This 404-nucleotide long non-coding RNA is filed under the name Setaria viridis. RNAcentral's name for it is "long non-coding RNA (SVIR_LNC004913)". Lineage: Eukaryota; Viridiplantae; Streptophyta; Magnoliopsida; Poales; Poaceae. The record is from RNAcentral.
UUAAGUUACAACCAGCAAAUAUUUUAGUUCUUAACCCUAAACUAUACAUCAAAAUACUAGUCACCAAUUAAAUCUAGCCUCGAACCUACACCUCUUGUUGCUCCGAACCUCCAGCCUCGUCCUUCUCCCUUAACUCCUCUUCCUUGGCCUGCUCAAAACAAUACCAAUAAGAAACUAACCAAGCAAGACGCAAUGUACAAAACAAGAGAGAAAAGUACGAACCUGCACAAUGCAUUCACGGGCAACGAGCCUCACAUAAUCACGACCAAAAGCUUUCCAAAAUUAUUUCAUGAAAUUUCUCUUCACAAGCUUAACUUGUUUUGAUGUCUCCUGCGCAUCAAGUUCCAAGGCCGAAGAAAACUUAUAGCCACGUGCGCCGAGUUUUAGAAAGUCUAAACACCCCC